This 143-nucleotide ribosomal RNA is filed under the name uncultured Flavobacterium sp. RNAcentral describes it as "partial 16S ribosomal RNA". It matches the Rfam family "Bacterial small subunit ribosomal RNA", at positions 385 to 525 of the family's 1533-position model. Lineage: Bacteria; Pseudomonadati; Bacteroidota; Flavobacteriia; Flavobacteriales; Flavobacteriaceae. The record is from RNAcentral.
GAUCCAGCCAUGCCGCGUGCAGGAUGACGGUCCUAUGGAUUGUAAACUGCUUUUGCACAGGAAGAAACACUACUUCGUGAAGUAGCUUGACGGUACUGUAAGAAUAAGGAUCGGCUAACUCCGUGCCAGCAGCCGCGGUAAUA